This is a long non-coding RNA of Glycine soja, 731 nucleotides long. RefSeq lists it as uncharacterized. The record is from RefSeq and is a predicted model, not a curated record. Lineage: Eukaryota; Viridiplantae; Streptophyta; Magnoliopsida; Fabales; Fabaceae. The transcript has 3 exons.
UUUUUUUUAAUUGCGUGGCUCCUGUUUGUUUUGUGUUGAUGCUGCGAUGAAAUUUUUGCAGGCAAGAAAAUAUGCCACUUAGAUUGUUGCAAAUUUACAGAGGCAGCAGGUUCAGUCCAAGCUCAUCGCCUCUGAUUACUUGGAUACUAAUUUGGAUCUUAUGGAUGUCUUGGUAUUUGGGUCAUUUUGGUCAUGGCUUUAUAUCAAAUAUGUUCUGGACUCACUACGAAGAAGUUUUUUGACUACAUUCAGCUUCCAAAUUUUGACAUAGCUGUAGAUGCCACAGCAACUUUUAAGGAGCUAAUGACAAGGCAUAAAUCUACUGUAGCUGAUUUCCUUAGCAAUUAUUAUGAAUGGGUAGUUUUGACACUUGUCUAUUGAGAUGUCACUUUUUGUCAUAUUCUUAGCAUGGAUGUUAUGCUUGAUUUGUGAAGGAGAAAAAAAGUUUUUUUUUCUUUUCAUGAUGAAAGUUAAUGACUUGGCUUGUGAGUGUGUCAGCUACUAGGUAUUGUGUUCAAGGAUGUAAAAUAUUAAAUAUCACUCAAAGCUUUCUGAACAAUGCGGUCAUUAAUUGCUGAUUUCCUGCUUUUUGGUUUGGUUACUGGAACAUGAUGAAUUGUUCUUAUGCUAGGUAUAGUGUUUCAUUUUUAAAAGCCAUGUAUGAGUCGUAGUCAAGACUGCAUUCUAAAUUUGUAAUAGAAAGCAUAUUUUCUAAGAUGUUUUGUAUGUAA